UGGGGAAUAUUGCACAAUGGACGGAAGUUUGAUGCAGCGACGCCGCGUGGAGGGUGUAGGCCUUCGGGUUGUGAACUCCUUUUUCUCGCGAAAAAGGCACAGUUUUGGCUGUGUUGAUGGUAGUGGGGGAAGAAGCGCCGGCUAACUACGUGCCAGCAGCCGCGGUAAUACGUAGGGCGCGAGCGUUGUCCGGAUUUAUUGGGCGUAAAGAGCUCGUAGGUGGUUCGUCGCGUCUGUCGGGAAAGCCAGCAGCUUAACUGUUGGUCUGCGGUGGGUACGGGCGGGCUUGAGUGCGGUAGGGGUGACUGGAAUUCCUGGUGGAGCGGUGGAAUGCGCAGAUAUCAGGAGGAACACCGAUGGCGAAGGCAGGUCACUGGGCCGUUACUGACACUGAGGAGCGAAAGCGUGGGGAGCGAACAGG
This 421-nucleotide ribosomal RNA is filed under the name Fusobacteriota bacterium. RNAcentral's name for it is "Fusobacteria bacterium partial 16S ribosomal RNA". It matches the Rfam family "Bacterial small subunit ribosomal RNA", at positions 355 to 776 of the family's 1533-position model. Lineage: Bacteria; Fusobacteriati; Fusobacteriota. The record is from RNAcentral.